RNAcentral lists this ribosomal RNA (512 nucleotides) under uncultured bacterium. RNAcentral describes it as "partial 16S ribosomal RNA". It matches the Rfam family "Bacterial small subunit ribosomal RNA", at positions 28 to 507 of the family's 1533-position model. The record is from RNAcentral.
GAUGAACGCUGGCGGCGUGCCUAAUACAUGCAAGUCGAACGAAACUUCUUUAUCACCGAGUGCUUGCACUCACCGAUAAAGAGUUGAGUGGCGAACGGGUGAGUAACACGUGGGCAACCUGCCCACAAGAGGGGGAUAACACUUGGAAACAGGUGCUAAUACCGCAUAACCAUAGUUACCGCAUGGUAACUAUGUAAAAGGUGGCUAUACUACCGCUUUUGGAUGGGCCCGCGGCGCAUUAGCUAGUUGGUAGGGUAAAGGCUUACCAAGGCAAUGAUGCGUAGCCGAAUUGAGAGGUUGAUCGGCCACAUUGGGACUGAGACACGGCCCAAACUCCUACGGGAGGCAGCAGUAGGGAAUCGGCCACAAUGGGCGAAAGCCUGAUGGAGCAACGCCGCGUGUGUGAAGAAGGUCUUCGGAUCGUAAAACCCUGUUGUUAGAGAAGAAAGUGCGUGAGAGUAACUGUUCACGUUUCGACGGUAUCUAACCAGAAAGCCACGGCUAACUACGUG